ACGAACGCUGGCGGCGUGCUUAACCCAUGCAAGUCGAACGAAGAGCGAUGGGAGCUUGCUUCUAUCAAUCUUAGUGGCGAACGGGUGAGUAACGCGUAAUCAACCUGCCCUUCAGAGGGGGACAACAGUUGGAAACGACUGCUAAUACCGCAUACGAUCUAAACUCGGCAUCGAGGAUAGAUGAAAGGUGGCCUCUACAUGUAAGCUAUCACUGAAGGAGGGGAUUGCGUCUGAUUAGCUAGUUGGAGGGGUAACGGCCCACCAAGGCGAUGAUCAGUAGCCGGUCUGAGAGGAUGAACGGCCACAUUGGGACUGAGACACGGCCCAGACUCCUACGGGAGGCAGCAGUGGGGAAUCUUCCGCAAUGGACGAAAGUCUGACGGAGCAACGCCGCGUGAGUGAUGACGGCCUUCGGGUUGUAAAGCUCUGUUAAUCGGGACGAAAGGCCUUCUUGCGAAUAGUGAGAAGGAUUGACGGUACCGGAAGAGAAAGCCACGGCUAACUACGUG
This 509-nucleotide ribosomal RNA is filed under the name uncultured bacterium. RNAcentral's name for it is "partial 16S ribosomal RNA". It matches the Rfam family "Bacterial small subunit ribosomal RNA", at positions 29 to 507 of the family's 1533-position model. The record is from RNAcentral.